This 496-nucleotide ribosomal RNA is filed under the name uncultured bacterium. RNAcentral's name for it is "partial 16S ribosomal RNA". It matches the Rfam family "Bacterial small subunit ribosomal RNA", at positions 28 to 506 of the family's 1533-position model. The record is from RNAcentral.
GAUGAACGCUGGCGGCGUGCCUAAUACAUGCAAGUCGAGCGAACAGACGAGGAGCUUGCUCCUCUGACGUUAGCGGCGGACGGGUGAGUAACACGUGGAUAACCUACCUAUAAGACUGGGAUAACUUCGGGAAACCGGAGCUAAUACCGGAUAAUAUAUUGAACCGCAUGGUUCAAUAGUGAAAGACGGUUUUGCUGUCACUUAUAGACGGAUCCGCGCCGCAUUAGCUAGUUGGUAAGGUAACGGCUUACCAAGGCAACGAUGCGUAGCCGACCUGAGAGGGUGAUCGGCCACACUGGAACUGAGACACGGUCCAGACUCCUACGGGAGGCAGCAGUAGGGAAUCUUCCGCAAUGGGCGAAAGCCUGACGGAGCAACGCCGCGUGAGUGAUGAAGGUCUUCGGAUCGUAAAACUCUGUUAUUAGGGAAGAACAAAUGUGUAAGUAACUAUGCACGUCUUGACGGUACCUAAUCAGAAAGCCACGGCUAACUACGU